This 751-nucleotide ribosomal RNA is filed under the name Salmonella enterica. Its description in RNAcentral is "partial 23S ribosomal RNA". It matches the Rfam family "Bacterial large subunit ribosomal RNA", at positions 2180 to 2925 of the family's 2925-position model. Lineage: Bacteria; Pseudomonadati; Pseudomonadota; Gammaproteobacteria; Enterobacterales; Enterobacteriaceae. The record is from RNAcentral.
GUGGAGCCGACCUUGAAAUACCACCCUUUAAUGUUUGAUGUUCUAACGUGGACCCGUGAUCCGGGUUGCGGACAGUGUCUGGUGGGUAGUUUGACUGGGGCGGUCUCCUCCUAAAGAGUAACGGAGGAGCACGAAGGUUGGCUAAUCCUGGUCGGACAUCAGGAGGUUAGUGCAAUGGCAUAAGCCAGCUUGACUGCGAGCGUGACGGCGCGAGCAGGUGCGAAAGCAGGUCAUAGUGAUCCGGUGGUUCUGAAUGGAAGGGCCAUCGCUCAACGGAUAAAAGGUACUCCGGGGAUAACAGGCUGAUACCGCCCAAGAGUUCAUAUCGACGGCGGUGUUUGGCACCUCGAUGUCGGCUCAUCACAUCCUGGGGCUGAAGUAGGUCCCAAGGGUAUGGCUGUUCGCCAUUUAAAGUGGUACGCGAGCUGGGUUUAGAACGUCGUGAGACAGUUCGGUCCCUAUCUGCCGUGGGCGCUGGAGAACUGAGGGGGGCUGCUCCUAGUACGAGAGGACCGGAGUGGACGCAUCACUGGUGUUCGGGUUGUCAUGCCAAUGGCACUGCCCGGUAGCUAAAUGCGGAAGAGAUAAGUGCUGAAAGCAUCUAAGCACGAAACUUGCCCCGAGAUGAGUUCUCCCUGAGACUUAGAGUCUCCUGAAGGAACGUUGAAGACGACGACGUUGAUAGGCCGGGUGUGUAAGCGCAGCGAUGCGUUGAGCUAACCGGUACUAAUGAACCGUGAGGCUUAACCUU